GUGUGAAUCAAAAGAAAAAACUUUUUUCAAGUUAAUACAUGGUUCAGGAAAAGAAGAAACAAGCAAAGAAGCCAAAAUCAGAGCUAAGGAAAAAAGAAAUAGACUAAGUCUUCUUGUGCAGAAACCUGAGUUUCAUGAAGACACCCGCUCCAGUAGAUCUGGGCACUUGGCCAAAGAAACAAGGUGAAUAAAUUUUCAGUAUUUUGAGGAAGAUUUUGCUGAUUCUAUCAUUAAAGAUUUAAGAAAAAUGCAGUUAGGGAUUUCUGAUUUAUUGAAAAUUACACAGCAAUAUAAGGAAAGUUAGAAAUUUCAUUUGAAGAGACUAGAAAUAUUUCAUAAAAUUAAAUCACUUGAAUUAAAUCGCUUGAAUUGAAUAAUCACGUGAACACUUAAAGCUGCUCUUUUAAAAUUAUAUACCUGUCAGUUUUAAAUGACAUGUUUUACUCCUUAUAACCUGAUAAAAUGCUCAUUAAUUUAAGAGUUUUCACAAUGCAAUAUUGUCAUAGCAGAGAGAUAUUCAUCUCUUUCUUCAGUAGUUUGAAAAAACACACGCAUUAUAGCAAGUAAAGCACAAAUAAUGUCUUUUAAUACUUAGCAUUUAUUUAAUUCAAAAAGAAAAUGCAAAAACCUUAUAUACUAGUUUCAUACAAAUUCUUCCAAAUUAGAGUAUAAUAAAAAAGAUCCGAGAAAAUAUAUUCAAUUCUCCACAUUACCAACAUCUCUAGAAUAUUUUUUCUAUUAAAAUAUCUUAUAUUUCUUAUCCCUUUGAAACUUUAUUAGUCAAACUUCCUGUAUCCGUUUAAAAAAAAAAUUUGCAGCCUAGUGUGGUUACAGCUUCAAGGAAAUUGCAGUAUAAUUUUUUUUUAACUGAAAGAUACUGUGAGUUUAGUUUUUUUCUACUUGCUGAAUUUAAACAGAUAGUUGACCUGAUUUCUUUAUAUUUGUUAUCUGUGCCCUUUAACCUAAAAAAGGAUUAAUUUUUAAUUAAAAAAUAAAACUCACAUAUCCAUGAGAAAAAAAAUAAUGUUAUUUCAACACAUUAUUCAACAGACAAAUUCCAAAAGAAAAUUGAACAAUGUUUUCAAAGUUUCUAAUGUAAAUGCAAUUUUCAUUAUAUUAUAAUCAAAGGAGAAACUGUGAAAUAUAAUUGAAAAGAGCAGUAAAAUAGCAUAUGUUAGAACAGAUUCAUAAACAGACUUUCUGCACACUCCAUUAUAAAACAUUUUGUUUCUUGUACAGAGUCUCCCCUGAAGAGGCAGUGAAAUGGGGUGAAUCAUUUGACAAACUGCUUUCCCAUAGAGAUAGAAAGACUCAACUGAGCAGGUGAUGCAGCUAGUCUAGUUACAACUGGAUGAUGAUCAAUUAGAGGGUGAAAAUUUCAAUUGACAAUAACAUAUAGACAGGAUUUCUUUCACUUAAUGAAUUAGUAUAUAAUAAUUUCAUCAUACUUUCAUUACUCAUUCAAAGCAUAGAAAGAUUUAGCAGGAUGAUUAGUCCUACAGAAAAUCCUCACCUAGCAUUCUGUAAUCUUUCUUCUUUAAAAGUGGUAAAAAGCAAAAGGACAAAAUCGAAUUUGCUACUCUCUCUUUUCUCUACUGGUAAUAUUGAAGAACAGUAAACUAUCUGCAAUUUAAAUCAAGAAGAGACACAUUUAAAGAAAUCAGCACUGACCCACUGGAUAUUAUCACUUGUCAUGAUUACAAUGCUAAAUAUAUUAUAUUGAAUUCACAGAAUUUAUAUUACCAGUAUUAUUUUACUCAAUCUCCCCUAAUCCAAUUAUUUUUAUUACAAUGCUUAUAAUAAUAUUAAAUUGUCAAACUUAAAAUAAUCACCUAAAACAAGCCUUUUGUUUGCAGUGGUUAAAUUCAGUUUAUUUCUAUUUAUUUGACUCUAGUAGAAAAGUGUGUGUGUGAAUAUAUAUAUAUAUUUUUUUUUUUUCUUUUUUUUAAAGAGAAAGAUCCUACACACACACACACUUCAAGAAAGACAUUGCUCUAUCAAAUUUUAUCAAAUUUCCUUUUAUAAAAUUUUAUAAAAUGCAUACUUUUCUCAAAUUCUGUAUGUUAUGUCAUUAAAAGGAAACAAAAUUUACUCAGUUUAUUCAAAUGAGAAAUUAAGUGAUAAAUCAAACCAGAUACAAUGGAAAUUUGGGUAUUCAAUUUGACAAAAACAGUUAAUAUUAGAACCAUCAUAAACUGAUUAUUAGCAGUUUUAGGAAUGAAACCACAGGAUGGAUGGUUUUUACCCUAGAUUUUAGGGGAUUAAUCAAAAUUCACUAGCCGAACAAGGACAGAAGGAGACCAUCCAAGCAAAGAAUCAGUAUAGGAAUGGGGCGUUAAACAAUAUAAUUUAGUUAGGGAAUUAAAACCAAAACAAUUCUUUAUUGAAAAAUACAAUUUGAAAAGGGAUGGUGGCUUAGGGUGACAGACAAUAUAUCCAUGAGACCAAAACAGAAAGGUCACUGAUUUUUGCUCUAUUCCACAGAAAUCAAAUGAUUCAGGGAGGUGUUCUGAUAAUUCUAUUUUAUUCUAAUUUUAGUCACACAGUUUAACUUUUUUAAAAUUAAAAAAAAAAUGAGUAAAUAUAAACUUCAGUUCAAAAUUAUGCAUCAGUGUUGUUUCAGUAAUUGCAACAAAUGUCCCAUACCAACAUAAGAUAUUAAUAACAGGGAAAUUGAAUCGGGGGCAUAUUACCUUCUUCUAAAUCUGUACUACCUUCUGUACUACCUUCUUGUUGUGGGAAGUCAGGGACCCCGAAAGAAGGGACCAGCUGAAGCUAUGGCAGAAGAAUAUAAAUUGUGAAGAUUUCAUGGACAUUUAUCACUUCCCCAAUCAAUACUCUUAUAAUUUCCUAUGCUUGACUUUACUUUAAUCUCUUAACCCAAUUGUCUUCAUAAACUGAGGAUGUAUGUUGCCUCAGGACCCUGUGAUGAUUGCGUUAACUGUGUAAAUUGUUCGUAAAGCAUGUGUGUUUGAACGAUAUGAAAUCUGGGCACCCUGAAAAAGAACAGGAUAACAGCAAUGUUCAGGGAACAAGGGAGAUAACCAUUAGGUCUGACUGCCUGGGACCCGGGCAGGACAGUCAUAUUUCUCUUAUUGCCGAAAAUGGGUAAGAGAAAUAUCACUGAAUUAUUUCCCCAGUAAGGAAUAUUAAUAAUUAACAGCCCUGGGGAAAGAAUGGAUUCCCCGGGGAGGCCUCUAAAAUGGCCGCUCUGGGAGUGUCUGCUUUAUGCCGUUGUAGGUAGGGAUGAAACAUGCCCUGGUCUCCUGCAGCACCCCCAGGCUUGCUAGGAUUAGGAAAUUCCAGCCUGGUGAAUUCUAGACAGACUGGUACUCUGCUCUUGAACCCUGUUUCCUGUUAAGAUGUUUAUCGACGACAAUGCUUGCACAGUGGGACUUGAAACUUCAUCAGAAAUUGUAGUUUUGCCCUGGCCUUGUGACCUUGUCCUGCCCAUUUGCCUUGUGAUAUUUUAUUGCCUUUGAAGCAUGUGAUCUCUGUGACCCACACUGUGUUCGUACACUCCCUCCCCUUUGAAAAUUGCUAAUAAAAACUUGCUGGUUUUGUGGCUCAGGGGGCAUCACGGAACCUGCCGAUGUGAUGUCUCCCCUGGACACCCAGCUUUAAAAUUUCUCUCUUUUGUGCUCUUUCCCUUUAUUUCUCAGACUGGCCGACACUUAGG
Molecule: long non-coding RNA, 3679 nt
Filed under: Homo sapiens (human)
Lineage: Eukaryota; Metazoa; Chordata; Mammalia; Primates; Hominidae
Description: HSALNT0019211
Source: RNAcentral